AUUGAACGCUGGCGGAAUGCUUUACACAUGCAAGUCGAACGGCAGCACGGACUUCGGCCUGGUGGCGAGUGGCGAACGGGUGAGUAAUACAUCGGAACGUGCCCAGUCGUGGGGGAUAACGUAGCGAAAGCUACGCUAAUACCGCAUACGAUCUAAGGAUGAAAGCGGGGGAUCGCAAGACCUCGCGCGCUUGGGGCGGCCGAUGGCAGAUUAGGUAGUUGGUAGGGUAAAGGCCUACCAAGCCGACGAUCUGUAGCUGGUCUGAGAGGACGACCAGCCACACUGGGACUGAGACACGGCCCAGACUCCUACGGGAGGCAGCAGUGGGGAAUUUUGGACAAUGGACGCAAGUCUGAUCCAGCCAUUCCGCGUGCAGGAUGAAGGCCCUCGGGUUGUAAACUGCUUUUGUACAGAGCGAAAAGGCUCUGGUUAAUACCUGGAGCUCAUGACGGUACUGUAAGAAUAAGCACCGGCUAACUACGUGCCAGCCGCCGCGGUAA
RNAcentral lists this ribosomal RNA (500 nucleotides) under uncultured bacterium. RNAcentral describes it as "partial 16S ribosomal RNA". It matches the Rfam family "Bacterial small subunit ribosomal RNA", at positions 30 to 523 of the family's 1533-position model. The record is from RNAcentral.